UCAGGGAACACUGAAUGGAGGACCGAACCGACUUACGUUGAAAAGUGAGCGGAUGAACUGAGGGUAGCGGAGAAAUUCCAAUCGAACUUGGAGAUAGCUGGUUCUCUCCGAAAUAGCUUUAGGGCUAGCCUCAAGUGAUGAUUAUUGGAGGUAGAGCACUGUUUGGACGAGGGGCCCCUCUCGGGUUACCGAAUUCAGACAAACUCCGAAUGCCAAUUAAUUUAACUUGGGAGUCAGAACAUGGGUGAUAAGGUCCGUGUUCGAAAGGGAAACAGCCCAGACCACCAGCUAAGGUCCCAAAAUAUAUGUUAAGUGGAAAAGGAUGUGGCGUUGCCCAGACAACUAGGAUGUUGGCUUAGAAGCAGCCAUCAUUUAAAGAGUGCGUAAUAGCUCACUAGUCGAGUGACACUGCGCCGAAAAUGUACCGGGGCUAAACAUAUUACCGAAGCUGUGGAUUGUCCUUUGGACAAUGGUAGGAGAGCGUUCUAAGGGCGUCGAAGCAUGAUCGCAAGGACAUGUGGAGCGCUUAGAAGUGAGAAUGCCGGUGUGAGUAG
Molecule: ribosomal RNA, 554 nt
Filed under: Staphylococcus epidermidis
Lineage: Bacteria; Bacillati; Bacillota; Bacilli; Caryophanales; Staphylococcaceae
Description: bacterial LSU rRNA
Rfam family: Bacterial large subunit ribosomal RNA
Source: RNAcentral